AAUGCCAGUGAAGCCAACCUAUGUUUUGAUUCUUUAAAUGAAUGGAUUAAAAAUGCUGACAUGUACAUGUACUCUAUUCAUUCAGUGCCACAUCUGACCCAUCAGCACCAUGCACAAGGACAGGAAAAUCUACCCCAGAAUCCCAGUUUCCACCAAAACACCAUUCGACAUUUUAGGAUUCAGUAAUAACUGCUACCAGGAACUUUCUGCUCGCGGUUACUUCAGCAUUUCUGAAGAAGAUCAGAUUAGUUACUCCUCAAAGAAAUCAGGUAGGCUGUUGUACAUUUUGAAACAAAUAGCUCAAUUAGACUGCGCAAAACAGCCAUGAGAGGAAAUAACCUUUCAAAUAACUUGCUGUUAUAGUUUUGCUCAUUGCUAAAGCUAUUUGAUAAGAAGCAAAUCAGUUAUUUUUUCAUGCCACAGUACACAAGGCUCAGAGCAGCAAAACAGA
Non-coding RNA from Chiloscyllium plagiosum (whitespotted bambooshark), 451 nucleotides. The record is from RefSeq and is a predicted model, not a curated record. NCBI's taxonomy places the organism in Eukaryota, Metazoa, Chordata, Chondrichthyes, Orectolobiformes, Hemiscylliidae.